This is a long non-coding RNA of Haliotis rubra (blacklip abalone), 593 nucleotides long. RefSeq lists it as uncharacterized. The transcript is spliced from 2 exons. NCBI's taxonomy places the organism in Eukaryota, Metazoa, Mollusca, Gastropoda, Lepetellida, Haliotidae. The record is from RefSeq and is a predicted model, not a curated record.
ACCACGCUGCUAUGUUACAGUGCAGGUGAAAGAUGGCCACUGACCCUCCUUCUAACCUGACCCCCCAGGUCCUGUACUGAGGUCGCCUGGCUAAUGACCUAUAUGGACAUGUACAGAUACCACUCACCACGCUGCUAUGUUACAGUGCACGUCAGCAUGCAGCGGAGGGAGACUAAAGGUCAAAGGGGACAUAAAGGUUGACAAACAAAAGGACCCCACUAACAUCAGUAUGCAUAUUGUCAUGCCACUUAAAGAGUCUCAAACCUGACAAGAAUACAACUGAAAAUUGACAACGUGAUCCAGACGAUUUUUCAAACGAUAUCACUUACAUGUUGACACAAUCCAUAUGCAUAUGAAUUGAAAACUGGAAUUUCAUUUACUUAUCCAGCAACUGUAUUCAGUGUUAGACUGAGCCGUUGCUUCUCUCAGUUAUUGCAAAUGUAACACUGUUGGUCCUCACUGAGUCUUUCAUAAGGGCGUUCAUGGUGGGCCUUUCUCCAGCGACACAGGUAUAGCAGCUCCCAUGAAUGUAGUGACGCUGCUGGGACCACAGACCCUCGUGUUUUUGCGAGGAUUAAAGAUUAGAGAGAAAA